Molecule: ribosomal RNA, 468 nt
Filed under: uncultured bacterium
Lineage: Bacteria
Description: partial 16S ribosomal RNA
Rfam family: Bacterial small subunit ribosomal RNA
Source: RNAcentral
GACGAACGCUGGCGGCGUGCUUAACACAUGCAAGUCGAACGGAAAGGCCCUGCUUUUGUGGGGUGCUCGAGUGGCGAACGGGUGAGUAACACGUGAGUAACCUGGCCUUGACUUUGGGAUAACUUCAGGAAACUGGGGCUAAUAACGGAUAGGAGCUCCUGCUGAAUGGUGGGGGUUGGAAAGUUUCGGCGGUUUGGGAUGGACUCGCGGCUUAUCAGCUUGCGGGUGGGGUGGUGGCUUACCAAGGCUUGGCCGGGAAGCCGGCCGGAUAGGAUGACCGGCCACAUUAGGACUGAGAUACGGCCCAGACUCCUACGGGAGGCAGCAGUGGGGAAUAUUGCACAAUGCGCGGAAGCCUGAUGCAGCAACGCCGCGUGCGGGAUGUCGGCCUUCGGUUUGUAAACCGCUUUCGCCUGUGACGAAGCGUGAGUGACGGUAAUUGGUAAAGAAGCACCGGCUAACUACGUG